RNAcentral lists this ribosomal RNA (1098 nucleotides) under Pseudomonas sp. KRD18. Its description in RNAcentral is "bacterial SSU rRNA". It matches the Rfam family "Bacterial small subunit ribosomal RNA", at positions 40 to 1125 of the family's 1533-position model. The record is from RNAcentral. Lineage: Bacteria; Pseudomonadati; Pseudomonadota; Gammaproteobacteria; Pseudomonadales; Pseudomonadaceae.
AGGCAUGCGCAGAUACCAUGCAGUCGAGCGGAUGACGGGAGCUUGCUCCUUGAUUCAGCGGCGGACGGGUGAGUAAUGCCUAGGAAUCUGCCUGGUAGUGGGGGACGACGUUUCGAAAGGAACGCUAAUACCGCAAACGUCCUACGGGAGAAAGCAGGGGACCUUCGGGCCUUGCGCUAUCAGAUGAGCCUAGGUCGGAUUAGCUAGUUGGUGAGGUAAUGGCUCACCAAGGCGACGAUCCGUAACUGGUCUGAGAGGAUGAUCAGUCACACUGGAACUGAGACACGGUCCAGACUCCUACGGGAGGCAGCAGUGGGGAAUAUUGGACAAUGGGCGAAAGCCUGAUCCAGCCAUGCCGCGUGUGUGAAGAAGGUCUUCGGAUUGUAAAGCACUUUAAGUUGGGAGGAAGGGCAGUAAGUUAAUACCUUGCUGUUUUGACGUUACCGACAGAAUAAGCACCGGCUAACUCUGUGCCAGCAGCCGCGGUAAUACAGAGGGUGCAAGCGUUAAUCGGAAUUACUGGGCGUAAAGCGCGCGUAGGUGGUUCGUUAAGUUGGAUGUGAAAGCCCCGGGCUCAACCUGGGAACUGCAUCCAAAACUGGCGAGCUAGAGUACGGUAGAGGGUGGUGGAAUUUCCUGUGUAGCGGUGAAAUGCGUAGAUAUAGGAAGGAACACCAGUGGCGAAGGCGACCACCUGGACUGAUACUGACACUGAGGUGCGAAAGCGUGGGGAGCAAACAGGAUUAGAUACCCUGGUAGUCCACGCCGUAAACGAUGUCAACUAGCCGUUGGAAUCCUUGAGAUUUUAGUGGCGCAGCUGACGCAUUAAGUUGACCGCCUGGGGAGUACGGGCCGCAACGUUGAGACUCAACUGAAUUGACGGGGGCGCGCACAAGCCGGUGGAGCAUGUGGUGUUAUUUCGAUGCAACGCGAAGAAGCAUUACUAUGGCCUUGACAUGCAGAGACUUUUCCAGAGAUGGAAUUGGAUGCCGUUCGGGUAGCUCUGACACAAGUGCUGCAUGGACUGUCGUCAGCUCGUGUCGUGAGAUGAUGGGUGAAGUCACGUACGAGCGCAGCCCAUUGUUCAUUACUUAUCAU